Medicago truncatula (barrel medic) is the source of this 677-nucleotide long non-coding RNA. RefSeq lists it as uncharacterized. The transcript is spliced from 3 exons. NCBI's taxonomy places the organism in Eukaryota, Viridiplantae, Streptophyta, Magnoliopsida, Fabales, Fabaceae. The record is from RefSeq and is a predicted model, not a curated record.
UUUUAUUUCAUACGUUUUUGUCUCCGUUCUUUAUUCUUUCAACUUCUUCUCCUUUUCCUCAUUAUAUUUCUCCACCUUUUUAUAAGACCUUAUUUCGUGGUUCAUUCUCCUCAACCAGAAUAUUUUGUCCUUUUUUUCAUGAUUUUAUUCAUGCAAGCUUUUCACAGAAAGAAAGAAAGAAACGAAAUAGGAUGUGGCUGAUUUUUUGGUGAAGAGAAAUGAAUACGCAGGUGAUUUGAUAAAAUAUUGAAUAUGUAGAAGAAUGCAUGGCAAGAAGGGUUUUGUUGGUUGGUAUAGUUGAGGAAAUAUGUGAUGAGACAUUUCAUGUUGACAGAAGAGAGAGAGCACAACCCGGGAAUGGUUGUAAAGAGAGUCUUUGCCUUUGUUGGGAGUGUGCUCUCCCUUCUUCUGUCAUCAUCACAUCACUCACACUAUACUUUCCAUCUUUGGCUAUAUAUGAGACAUUUGCACGAUUAUCUCAUACCAAUCAAGGCUCGGUGAGUGACUCCAGAGAUCUUUUGACAGUGUGGGACUGCUUUGUACCAGUCAUCGUAGAUUCCUGGAAAUGGUCCAUUGAAGACCACAUACCAUUUCUUUGGUUCUCUUACAAUAAUUUCAUCAAUUGGACUCUUUCUUUUGAUCUGUGAUCUUAUUAGUUCUAUCUCAUUUUCAAUUAA